Molecule: ribosomal RNA, 109 nt
Filed under: Pteropus alecto (black flying fox)
Lineage: Eukaryota; Metazoa; Chordata; Mammalia; Chiroptera; Pteropodidae
Source: RNAcentral
GUCUACGGCCAUGCUACCCCGAAUAAGCCCGAUCCUGUCUGAUCUGCAGGGUUGGGCCUGGUUAGCACUUGGAUGGGAGACCACCUAGGAAGACCAGGUGCUGUAGGCA